CGGAGCAUUGAGAGCUUGCUUUUAAUGCUUAGUGGCGAACGGGUGAGUAGCGCGUGAGGAACCUGCCUCAAAGAGGGGGACAACAGUUGGAAACGACUGCUAAUACCGCAUAAGCCCACGAGAUCGCAUGGUCUUGAGGGAAAAGGAGCAAUCCGCUUUGAGAUGGCCUCGCGUCCGAUUAGCUAGUUGGUGAGGUAACGGCCCACCAAGGCGACGAUCGGUAGCCGGACUGAGAGGUUGAACGGCCACAUUGGGACUGAGACACGGCCCAGACUCCUACGGGAGGCAGCAGUGGGGAAUAUUGCACAAUGGAGGAAACUCUGAUGCAGCGACGCCGCGUGGAGGAAGAAGGUCUUCGGAUUGUAAACUCCUGUUGUUGAGGACGAUAAUGACGGUACUCAACAAGGAAGUGACGGCUAACUACGUGCCAGCAGCCGCGGUAAAACGUAGGUCACAAGCGUUGUCCGG
RNAcentral lists this ribosomal RNA (468 nucleotides) under uncultured bacterium. Its description in RNAcentral is "bacterial SSU rRNA". It matches the Rfam family "Bacterial small subunit ribosomal RNA", at positions 67 to 548 of the family's 1533-position model. The record is from RNAcentral.